AUCGCUUCUCGGCCUUUUGGCUAAGAUCAAGUGUAGAAAAAUAGAGGGCAGAAAAAAAUCCGUGUAUUGUUCAGUAGUCCAACUGCCACAGAACUUGUUAUUGAGUCUCUUUAGAAUCAACAUCAAAGCCAAUGCGUAGAUUUUUCUUAAUGUCCUUGGCUUUGUACAUUAGCCAUGCAUUAUACUCGCU
Non-coding RNA from Fukomys damarensis (Damara mole-rat), 190 nucleotides. NCBI's taxonomy places the organism in Eukaryota, Metazoa, Chordata, Mammalia, Rodentia, Bathyergidae. The record is from Rfam.